GGGCCUAUAGUAAAAUGGUAUUACAUCUCCAUGGCAUGGAGGAGGUAGGAGUUCGAUUCUCCUUAGGUCCACAA
Molecule: transfer RNA, 74 nt
Filed under: Candidatus Colwellbacteria bacterium RIFCSPHIGHO2_02_FULL_43_15
Lineage: Bacteria; Candidatus Colwelliibacteriota
Also listed under: 3 other names
Description: tRNA-Ala
Rfam family: tRNA
About the family: Transfer RNA (tRNA) molecules are approximately 80 nucleotides in length. Their secondary structure includes four short double-helical elements and three loops (D, anti-codon, and T loops). Further hydrogen bonds mediate the characteristic L-shaped molecular structure. tRNAs have two regions of fundamental functional importance: the anti-codon, which is responsible for specific mRNA codon recognition, and the 3' end, to which the tRNAs corresponding amino acid is attached (by aminoacyl-tRNA synthetases). tRNAs cope with the degeneracy of the genetic code in two manners: having more than one tRNA (with a specific anti-codon) for a particular amino acid; and 'wobble' base-pairing, i.e. permitting non-standard base-pairing at the 3rd anti-codon position.
Source: RNAcentral